This is a long non-coding RNA of Manihot esculenta (cassava), 750 nucleotides long. RefSeq lists it as uncharacterized. The record is from RefSeq and is a predicted model, not a curated record. The transcript has 3 exons. Lineage: Eukaryota; Viridiplantae; Streptophyta; Magnoliopsida; Malpighiales; Euphorbiaceae.
CGAAAUCACCUAUACUACGUCGUUUUGAAGUUUUGAAGUGUACCCUUAUAUUUGCCCUAAAUCUAAAAGCCGAGAGUUCACGCUAUGACGCUACUAAUCUCCAUUCCACGCCGCCUCCCUCACAUCAGACAUGCCUGUGCCUCUUCUCCGAGCAUUGAGCUCCACCGCUUCCAGCAGGUACACUGUCCACCGUCCGACCUCCACUCUCCUCCCGACAUCGACCGAUUAACCAUCGUGGCUAACUCGGGUCAUCGAUCUUCACUUGCAACGCUGAGUCGCCGACUCCUCCUCACCUCACUGUCGCUCUCUAGUCUCUCUCUCCAGUCUCCACACAAUCGUCGGUCGUCGCUCUCCACGCAAUCUUCGGCCGUCGCUCUCCAGUCCAUCGGCUGUCCGCGCCGUAGCAACUUGGUUGUCCGAGCAGUGACACACAAAGCAAUUCCAGUAACUCAUCAGUCAUCACUCAAUCCAACGGCGGAGAAUCAUCCCAUUUCACAUUUUUUGGACAUCACACUCUCGUACGCAUCAACGCGAAGAUCGCUUUGCUUCUCCCAAAUUUUGGAUGUGUCGGCCAUCUUUCUGAUUCACUUUUCGGCCGUCGCUCUCUUCCUCAGUCCUCAGUCUUUCUCAGUUCUCAAUCCUCGCCUCCUCUGUCCUCAUCAGCAACUGUAAAUGGACUUGGGUGGAGAGCCGACCGAAUGUUUUCUCCAGUCCAUCAGAAAAGUUUAAAAAUCGGUUCAACUGAUCAAA